RNAcentral lists this ribosomal RNA (102 nucleotides) under Triticum aestivum (bread wheat). RNAcentral's name for it is "rRNA LSU_rRNA_eukarya". It matches the Rfam family "Bacterial large subunit ribosomal RNA", at positions 1071 to 1172 of the family's 2925-position model. The record is from RNAcentral. Lineage: Eukaryota; Viridiplantae; Streptophyta; Magnoliopsida; Poales; Poaceae.
GGAAGUGAUCGAGCGAUGACAACCAGGAGGUGGGCUUGGAAGCAACCAUCCUUUGAAGAAAGCGUAAUAGCUCACUGGUCUAGCUCCAUGGCACCGAAAAUG